UUUGCAAGUUAAAAUAUGUUUUUAAGUUUUGAUGACAUGUAAAAUUGGUUUACAUUUUUUUUUCCAGAUUUCUGCAAAAAGAAGACUGUCUUGAAAUGACAGUCUCUGAUGAGAGUUUUCAAUAGUUCUUCAAGUGACACAAAGUGCUCCUAUGACAACCUUAGAAACUCCAACCCAUGCAGUUGUUCCUACAUAAGGAAUUUCCUUCUGUUGUGGUUUAACCUGGCGGGCAGGGUACAUCCUUCUCUGUCUCACCAAGCUGCAAAAUAGUAGAUGGAUACCACUGAUCUGAGAAGCUUUUGAAAAAGCAACCAGGCUGGAGGGAGUAAAGACAACAAGAGAAAUGCUGGAAAAAGAAGUCCUCAAGCUGGACCCACUAUUUUCUCUCCAUGACUGACUCUUGUGUGCAUUUUCUGAAGAGCUCUUCAGGCCCCUGUCCUGCAGUGUGGACAGGCGCCCACGGCACUGCCUGCAGUAAUGGACCAGCGGCUCCCACGAACAGGCACGGACCAACCCCUGCAGUCUGGAUUGGUGAUGUGCUCUGGCCACCACUUGUGACAACACCCUGGAGAAGAGAUCUAGUGAGAGGGAGAGCUCAGCUCCUGAGGGAGAAAUUGCUGAUCCUUGAGAGGCAGCUAGAGCAGCAAGUUUUUUUUUCUGCUGAUAAACCACUGAUGGAGAAGCCCUCUCUUCUCCGCUUCCUGUCUCAACUGCUGUCAUUUCAUUUACAAAAGCUUGUCCCUGUCCCUAUCAGCAUUUAUUUGAGUACAUCUCUGCUGCGCCUGAGUGAUUUAUCUAAACAUCGGCAGCUACUGUAAGUGAUGGAACAGCGAAGCAGCGGCAGAGGAGGGAGUGGAGAGGUUGAAAUGUGACUUCCCUCUUGUGAAAUCAAGCACAGGUGACUAUUCCCAGCAACUCCAGUGUAUUUACAUCAGUCACAGGCAGAGAGAAAAAAAGAGGGCAUUUCAGAGCCUGCUCAGACAUUUGAGACCAUUUAAUUAACCAAAUUAAAAUAUUUCCC
RNAcentral lists this long non-coding RNA (1021 nucleotides) under Anser brachyrhynchus (Pink-footed goose). RNAcentral's name for it is "lncRNA (ENSABRG00000006487.1)". The record is from RNAcentral. Lineage: Eukaryota; Metazoa; Chordata; Aves; Anseriformes; Anatidae.